RNAcentral lists this ribosomal RNA (1187 nucleotides) under Triticum aestivum (bread wheat). RNAcentral describes it as "partial small subunit ribosomal RNA". The record is from RNAcentral. Lineage: Eukaryota; Viridiplantae; Streptophyta; Magnoliopsida; Poales; Poaceae.
GUAUACACAUAUAUAGUGUUCUUGUUAUUUGACCUGUGAUUAGUCGUUCAUGUCUUAUAUAUACUGUAUAUAUCGAUCUAGAGUAUGUAAGCUUUACUCCCUGUGUUACAUUGUCAUGUUUGACAGUGAACAGUUGUUUUAUUCAUUCUUUGUGUGUACAGAAGCCUGACUUGUUUAUAGUAGUAGUGUGUUGUUAUAAAAACUACUUAAUGUGAGUGUGUGUGUGUGUGUGUGUGUGUAUGCUCGUCUUAUGAUUAACUAUCUUGGUUUUAUAUUAUCUAGUUCACAGAGGGUUUCAUUGUUCGGAGUUGAUCAGUCUAGAGUCUAGUGUAUGUGGUAUAAUAUGUUCAUGAAUUUGUCUCGUUUGUCGUCCAACGUUCAUGUGAAGUUUAGACUUAUAAUUUACAGUAUGUGAAGAUUUAAAAUGUCUUUAAAGUGCUUCUCUCUCUCUCUCUCGUCGUCCUCCUCCAACCUCAAGUCUCGUCGUCGUUGCACCUCCCAACUCCCUCUUCUCCCUCGUCGUCGCCAUCCCCUCUCCUCCGUCGUCGUCGUCCAACUCCUCUUCUUCCUUCCGUCGUCCCCGCACCCCUAGUCGUCCCUCCGCGUUCCUCUUCCUCGUUUUCCCUUAUGCUCGUCGUCGUUCCCCUAAGUCUCUGCUCCCUUCCUCCUCGUCGUCGUCACCGUACUCUCCUCGUCGUCUCUCUCAACUCCUUUCCUAGUCGUCAUCCCCUCGUCGCUCAUCGUCUCUGUGUCGUUCUCCUCCUCGCCAAGUCGUCGUCAUCAUCCCUGUUCCUCUUCUUUCCUUCUACGUCGUCAUCUCAAACCCCAUUCUUCCCUCGUCGUCGUCAACUCCUUCCGCUCCCCUUCUUCUCUUCGUCGUCCUGCUUCGUUCUCCCUCCUCGUCGUUGUUGUCUCUCCCUCCCCACCUUCACCACCUACCGCACGAGCGCGGCCUGUGGUCUGCCCGUCAGACCACCCAGACCACCCAGCGCGGUCUACGCCGCCACCGACCUCUACCACCUACCUACCGCGCCUUACUACCACCCCCACGACCACCGCGACCACCACGUCCCACUACCACAACACCACCUACCUCUACCCACUACUCCGCCCUCCGCGUGGUGGUGCGGCCGGACUGGCACCGCCGCCGGCCUCCACCUCUUCCUCCCACUCCCUUUCUCUCGCUA